GAGCACAAACUAUCCCUCCCCCCAUCUCUCUCACGAACACACACCCCCACGCCGCCAAAUGGCCGCCGCCGCCCGCCCCCUUGUCUCCGUACAACCUCUACCCGCGUCCCUCAAUGACAUGGCCACUGAUUCUGUCACAACCGUGGCUCUCCCCGAUGUCAUGAAGGCCUCAAUCAGACCGGACAUCGUCAAUUUUGUCCACUCCAACAUCUCCAAGAACAGCCGUCAACCUUACGCCGUCUCAAAGAAGGCCGGCCACCAGACCUCAGCCGAAUCUUGGGGUACCGGUCGUGCCGUUUCUCGUAUCCCCCGUGUUUCUGGUGGUGGAACUCACCGUGCUGGUCAGGGAGCUUUUGGAAACAUGUGCCGUGGUGGACGCAUGUUUGCUCCUACCAAGACCUGGCGCCGCUGGCACAGGAAGAUUAACGUCAACCAAAAGCGAUACGCUGUCGUUUCAGCUAUUGCUGCCUCUGCUGUUCCUUCUCUGGUAAUGGCACGCGGUCACCGGGUGGAGUCAGUCCCUGAGAUGCCUCUGGUAAUCUCUGAUUCGGCCGAGAGCAUUGAAAAAACAUCCACUGCUAUUAAGGUGCUGAAGGAAAUUGGUGCUUAUCCAGAUGCCGAGAAGGCCAAGGAUUCUCAAGCGAUCCGGGCAGGAAAGGGAAAAAUGAGGAACAGGAGGUACAUUUCCCGCAAGGGACCCCUGAUUGUGUAUGGAACCGAAGGUGCUAAGUUGGUGAAGGCCUUCCGUAAUAUUCCGGGAGUGGAGGUGGCUAACGUUGAGAGGCUGAACUUGUUGAGGCUGGCUCCCGGCGGUCAUCUUGGAAGGUUUGUGAUCUGGACAAAAUCAGCUAUCGAGAAGCUUGAUUCAAUAUAUGGGACUUUCGAUAAGUGUUCCGAGAAGAAGAAGGGUUAUGUGCUGCCUAGGACCAAGAUGGUGAAUGCUGAUUUGGCUAGGAUCAUCAACUCUGACGAGGUUCAGAGCGUUGUGAAUCCAAUCAAGAAGGAGGUUAAGAGGGCGCCUUUGAAGAAGAACCCAUUGAAGAACUUGAACGUGAUGCUGAAAUUGAAUCCAUAUGCUAAGACUGCUAGGAGGAUGGCCCUUCUGGCUGAAGCAGAGCGCGUGAAGGCCAAGAAGGAGAAGCUCGACAGGAAGAGGAAACCUGUGUCGAAGGUAUAUUGGCUAUCUAUCUGUUUUUUUCUGCUUGAGAGUGGUAUAUUGUUAAUAGCUAUAUGUUGCGAUUGUGAAUUGAUUAGGUGGUUGCUUUUGUAUGCUUUGGUAUUGUGGAUGGAAGCUGUUGAAUGUGAUUUUUUUUUUUGUGUAUUAAGAAUGUCAGAAUAAUGUGUAGUCGUAUAGAGUAUAGACUACUGUCAGAACAAUUUGGUGGAGUUUCGUAUACCGCUAAGCUUUCAGAGCAUUGCUAUGUUCAUCAAUUAUUACGCUAUACCAAAUCUAAUCUCUAUUAUACUAUAGGUUUUGCCACUGACAGCAAAUAGCUCUUUGUUUUGUUGGUGUGUCUUGCACUUGUCUACUUCUUUAUUAACAAUGUUUCUUUUCUUAUGAAAUCAAUAGGAGGAGCUAGCUGCUGCUAAGGCUGCAGGAAAGGCUUGGUACAAGACCAUGAUUUCUGACAGCGAUUACACCGAGUUCGAGAAUUUCACCAAGUGGCUUGGUGUCUCCCAGUGAUUUAUUUCUGUUUUUAGAGAGGAGUUUUGCUUAUUUACUUGAUUAUGCUGUCAACUUUUGUUUUGCUAUUGUACAUGGAGGGGAUGUUAGGUAUUUUGUAGCCUUUCUUCCAAUCCCAUUCUUCUAUUUUGCUAGGUCAAAGAAUUUCUAUUCCAAUCAGAAAUGAAUGGAACAAUUUAUUACCUCACUUGUGUGUUUUAUUUGAAUUGCUUGCUUUAGAGCGUGUUUGGUAGUGUCGUAACGGUUGCUUUUCAAAUAGCUUUUCAUGCCGAAAUACAUGCCAAUAAUGUUUUUUUAUUUUUUAAAAAUUAUUUUUGACAUCAGCCCAUCAAAACGAUCCAAAAAAUACAAACCGAAUUCAAUUUUAGCAAAAAAAAAAUUAAUUUAAAUUUAAACAAAAUACAGUUACAAACACAAUACCAAACAGUCUCUAAUGUACCGUAUGCUUUCUAUUCCUUCUCGGUGAAUUUGCAGAGAGCUAAAUGUCAUGUAUUAUGAAUUUGUAGUUUAAUCAAUUUAAUAUAUAGUUAUUGGAAAGCUAAAUGUCAUGUAUUAUGAAUUUGUAGUUUAAUCAAUUUAAUAUAUAGUUAUUGGAAACAGAGAAAUUGGACAUUAAUUAUUUUGGUGAUCGAGCAAAUGCAAAGGGUUUGAUGGUAAGAUUAUCGUUGCUUUUAUUAAAAGCAAGCAAUUCGAAUAAAAAAGAGAUAUAGAGGGGUUGUAGUGUAGUUGUUGCAACUUUUAGCGAUACGUAUAACUCCACCUACUGCUUUUAUGUUAUUUCACCAUUUUCUCAGAAGUCAUAUUCGUCGAAUCUCUUGAUUUCUUUACAAUGACCAAGUUUACAGAUUCUCUUUGUUUUUUUAAAAAGUUGCAUGUGAGCUUAGCUCAUGAACUUCCUAAAUAUUCCCAUAAGCACAUAUAAUCAUUUCAAUGAGAUCUGGAUUCGAAGAAGUCUAUGAAUUCCUUGACAGUCACCAAGUCUGUAGCUUUUAUUUGGUAAAAUCGUUGUUUAUAUCAUCAAAUAACAAGUGUCCACCUCAUUUCAAACCGCAACUUUUUUUCAUCCUCCAUUAAUGUCAUUAAAAUGGAUAAAGAUCCAACCUUUCUUGAUGUGGCACUGCACUGACAAACAAAGAAGCUGGAGGCUUGAUUAGAUUUUUGUUUUUGUGCUAUUGAAUGAUUUUGGAUUGGGAAGUUAGCUGAUUUUUCGACAGUUCAAUGUCAUACUUGAUUCAAACUUUCAAUUGUCUUCUUUGAGUUUAAAUGAACCUGCAUCACUUUUCUGGUGGAUCAUAUCCAUGCAUUCAACAAAGACUUUGAAUCCUUCCCUGCUUGGAAUAAUUGAUUUCUAGUAACAUGUUCUUUCAUUCAUAUCUAGAAUUUGAAAUAAUUUGAAAGCUUAAACAUUGACAUAGCUGACACACGAAUUCUAAUAAUUAAAAUCUAAAAUUAAUUUUUCUGUUUUUGUUAGUAUCAUUAAUCAAUUUUAAUUUGAUGUUUGUAUUAUCGACAAGUCAAUUCUUUUUUUUAUGGGAAUUAGUAGAGGGGUUUGGUUUGGAUAUAUACAGUUUCAUCAUAAAUGUUCAAAUGGAUGUCUAUAACUGAUUCGAAGCUCUGGUUGUGUAGAAGAUUUCAAUUAAUCCUUAAAAAAACAGAAUCAAAAGCAAAGAUACUACAAUAUUACUAUAUGCAGUAAAAUUAUUCCUUGAGCUGCACCUUCUUUACAAUACAACCUAGAAGAAAUGAUAACAUAGUUAAUCUCAGUAAAAGUGCCAUGGCUUUUCAAGCAAGGUUUUAUGCAAAGACAGAAAUUCAUGCUAUCAAGAUGAAGACGAAAAGAAUAUUUGUCUGUUCAAUUUUGAAAUCUUCAAUAAUUAAUUAUUCACAUCGAUUGUUUCCCUGCCUGUCUGGAGAAAGGGAUUUCUGUUUUCCUUUUACAAUUGCUAGCAUUUUUUCCAGGAUGCUCUCUCUGUUUUUUUCCUUGGUUCUGUCUGCUGAUUUGAAUGGAUUAUGUUUCCCUUGGCUUUAUCACUGUUGUUCACGAUCCUCUACUAUGACGACCUCAUGCUAUUGUAAAUUACAGUUGCUGUAAAUUGUUGCUGUUUCAGCUCAAAUCAGAUAGCCAACACAGACCCAAGAAAGGAAAAUGCAUAGAUUGGUUUGUGCUUUUACCAGCCGUUUUCAGGUAUGUUGCCUGAUCCAUUUUCUUUUUUGCCAUAUAAUUCCCUUUUAUUCUUGCCUGUCCAUCAAUUUCCUUUGAUGUAUGUUUCCCUUCCAUAGCCACCAAGAUCUAAUAAGUUAAUUUUUUUAUUAAUGUUUCUUUCAUCUUCUUUGAUUUUUGCUGGAUUCUCCUCCUCGGUGAUUUCCAAAAUAGUUUAUUACAUGUUUGCAGAGACACUAUACAGUUUUGUAGGCUCUAGGUCUGGAUGAAGAUGACAUGCCAGAAAUCAAUGAAGAAACCCUUCCUGAUGAAGAGGCCAUGGCUAGGUAAGGACAAAUUUUAACUUCAUAUGUUCUGCUGCAUCCACCAUUCUUUCAUUGUCCGCCCUUCAUGUGGAUCUUAGCAAUCUUUUUCGUCUACUUGACAAAUGUUCACAUUUACGGUCCACAGGCUAGGAGUUGCUGAAGCAGUUGAAAAGUUCAAGCUUCCUGUCUAUGGAGACAAUGGCGAUGAGGAAAGUGCCAUUGGCAAUGGAAAAGCAAGCAAUGCCUCCAAAAAACGUAAACCAGUUGCUGAAAAUACAGCUAAGGAGUCUGCAAACUACAACUGGCCAGAUCUUACUGAUAGUGGACAUGUUUGCUUUCUUAUGUUUCAAGGACGAUGGUAUUAAGUCUUAAUUAAGUGCACAAAUUUGGCUUAAUCGGUAUUAAGUACACUCCGCUUGAGUAAAUAAAUCCCUCUCCUUAACAUCUAUCAAGAUUGACAAAAAUUUAUGGGCUUCAUUUGUUAAAUGGACAGAAGUCCUUACAGACAAGGAUUUCAGAAAAACAUUGUAGUCCAUAUCAAAAAGUAAUCAAAGUAGAUCAAAAAAGAUGCUCUCAUGUUCUCCUAGACCUAGACAGGCUACAACCAGGAGUGAUCUAUGUUUUAUGUAUGAGGGGCUUGAAAAGUUAUUUAUUAACCAAGCCAAUUAAAUUUUUUUUUCCCUGUGAUGGCACCAUCCUGGUGCCCAAGUUUUUCUUCCUUUUUUCUUUUUUCUUUUUUCUUUUUUCUUUUUUGGCGCCAUCCACAUUGUUUGGAAAUUGCUGCGCCUUUACAAUUGUUACUUCUCUCUUUUCACAGGUCUCCCUAUGUGCUGCACAACUCUUGCAUAUGGGAGGAUUGAUACUGGUGUUUCACCUCUGCAAGUUUCUCUGCAGAAAAUUUUUAGAACUGGAUUGAAGUUUAGGUGUUUACAAGUCUAAGUUGGAUUUUGAACAUUUCUUCUUCCACAAAUGUUAUUUUUUAAGGGCUUUGCAAACUAAUGCUGUUUCUUUUGACAUGCAGAUAUCUGAAUUGCAUACCACUCGCUAAUUUUUUGUUGAUUGCAGUAAAAUGAGAGCCUUGGCAGAGGAGCUUCAAAGACAGUGUAUGAAUCCAGGCUCUUUUCUUUCUGUGAGUUCUUGUUAAUGGUUUGUCGAUUGAUUUAAGCAGGUAUAAAGCAGUUGAUGAGUGAAAGGAUUGAAGUUACUAGGAACCGAGUCUGCCUCCAUUGUUUCUUGAAAAACCUUAAGGUUUUGGUAAUGGUUUGUUGUCAAGACAGUAAGAAUUUGUCGAACUCUAAUGAUUUCACGGCCCAUUCUUUACUUUUCUGCUGAUUGUGCUUUACGGGUCUUUUGAAUCGUUUAUAAUCUUUUGAUUAUAUUCUCUUUGCUUUUUUGGUCUUUUAUUAGACUGAAGCACAGAAGAUAAAACAUUAGAGUUGCGAAGCAUUGGCGUAGGCAGAUCUUGAGAGGCAUUUUCAUUAAAAAAAUAUAUAUUUUGAAAAAUAUUUGAUAUCCUAAUAUUAGCUCUAAAUCCGCCGCCACAAAUUGGUGAAAGCUGGCCAGUAGAUUUGCUUGGAUUGUAGUUUUAUUUUAAGUGUUUUUACUUGAAAAUAUAUUAAAAUAAUAUAUUUUAUGUUUUUUUAAAUUAUUUUUAUAUCAAUAUAUUAAAAUAUUUUAAAAAUAUUAAUUUAAAGUAAAAUAAAAAGAAUUAAAUUUUUUAAAAAAUAUUUUAAAAACACAAAACAAAGACAGUAACGCGGCUAUUUCAGUUGAUCGGAGCUUUUAAUGAUUAUUACAGUCCCUCCCCUUUAUUUCAAUAGGAAAUUGAACAGCGAGAACAAAACUUGACAGUGAGGAAAGAAUGUAGGAUUUUUUAGGAUACAUUGUUUAUGAGGAGCCUUUUCGUAGAUUUUGGCCUUCAUGAUUUCUUCUCUUCUUUUGGUCCUUUUGACUUUGAAGCUUUUUUAUUUCUUUAUUUAAAACUUCAUUUUAUUCGCAUUGUAAUUUUUAUAUUUAAGAAAUGAGAAAAAGAAAGAGAGUUGAUAAAAAAUAGUGGAAGAAAAAGAAUUGUUGGUUGCUCACAUUCUGAUAACUAAAAAAAUUAAUUUUGAUGUCAUUGAAUUUCUUUUAACAAGAAGAGUUCUAUAUGGUGGGUUUUUUUAAACAACCCUUUGUUUUUUAAAAAAAAAUUGAUUAAAAUUAAUUAUAAUAAAAUGAUUUACAAUAUAUUUAGGAUUUUAUUUUAUUAGAUAACAUUCAGUUUUAGCUUUUCUUCUCAAAUAAGGUUAUAAUAUUUUUUAAAAUAUAUUGGCAAGCGUUUUUUUACAAACCUUGAUGAUUAUUACUUUUUUCCCUUAAAUUUUAGUCAAGAUUCAUUAUGAUCAAAUUAUUAAAAUUAUAUUUAGGAUUUUAUUCCAUAGGAUAACACUCAUGUUAUUUGUUUUUAGAUAAGAUUAUAUUACUUUUUUUUUAUAAUAUCAGCAGUUAUUUUGAUUGAUUAUUAUAUGUUAACCUACUACAUAGAGUUUGAUGCAAACCUAGAGGGAAAAACUGGUGAACCCGCAUGCAAGAAAAAAACAACCCAAAAAAACUAAAAUCAAAUUACAGUAAAAAUCUCAACACAAUAAUUACAUGAACCAAAAUAUCAAAGUUAUUAAAUGAAAAAAAAAAAACUAACCUUGUGAUUAUAGUUAAUUACGAACUAAAAAUAUAAGAAAAACGCCACAAAAACAAUUGAUUUUUGAUAAAUCAAAGAAAAUUUCAAUGAAGAACCAAAAAUAUGAAUAACCUUGUACAAAUAAUAUUAUUAUGAAAUAAACCAAGUCUACAAAAAAAAAUCUAAAUAUAAGUAAAAUAACUAUAUUUAUACCAAGUAAAAACAUCCUAAAUAAUAUUAAAAAAUAAAAAUAAAAAAUAUAUUUUUUCCAUGCACAACUAAUCUUUUUGCUCCUACCUCAUUCAUCUAGACUUUUUUUAAUUCUUCAUUCCAUCGAAACCUAUUAUUAAUUUUACUAAUGUUAUGAAUUUUAAACUAAACUUAAUAAUUCCCCAUUUUAAAUUCAAUAAUGCCCUUAGAUUUAUUUUUGUAGAUCACCCUCUUCAUUACACGUCAGAUUUAGUAGUAUUAUCAUUGUUUAUCUAUUUCUUUUCAUAAUAAGUUUUCAUUAUUCGUCAAGGUCUUAUCAUCUUCAAUUCCACGCUCACGUGGAGGUUUACAUAAACUGUUAGAUUUAGAACAUUAAUGAAUGAUAAAUGUUUUUUCUCGGAUCAAAAAUUAAGUUCUUGUUCAAACUUCCAAUAAGAAAAAGAAAAGAAAACAUAUGAAACCACGUUAAUACUCAGAACAUUAUAGAUUGUUCUGUUUAUCUCUGCAACUUUUUUUUCUUGCUACUAAAGAACAUUUUUUUACAAUUUCAUUCAUCUAAGUUUUAUUAAUAAGGAUUUAUGUGUCGGGAUUUUUUUCACUUUGCAUAUGUGAAGUGUCGAGGAAUGAUCAAGUGUUAAUUUAAGGAUGAUUUUGCAAAAUAUAAUUUUAGCUGUAGUUCAAAAAAAGAAAUUCAGAGAACAAGGAAAAAAAAGAAAAACAGAGCUUGGUAUUGAAAAGACAAAAAAACAAAACUUUAGUUUGGUCCCUGAAGUUUUAGAAUUUUAUAUUUUGAUACUAAAAUCCCUUUUUCAUAUUGUUGUCCAUUAGUAACGAGAAAAGAUUUAAAAAAUUAUUGAAAAAUAAAAAAAUAAUUAAAAAAAUCAAUAAGUAUUGUCCUUUAACCAUACUAAAAAAAAAAAAAACUGAUUUCCAUCAAGUGUUUUAGGUGUUCUGCCUAAACUCGCAGCAUUGUUCAUAAUUUUUAUAUAGAAAAACAGUCCAAAGUUUUUUAAUUUUAUGAAUUAUGUUUUUUUAGAGUUGUUGUUCUGGAUUUGUUCUUAAUCGACUUGCACAUGAUGCUUAAUAAUAAUUCAGAUUUUCCUUUUAAAAGAAAAAGAAAAAGAAAAAACCCAAACAUCCCUUAUCAGCGUACUAGAAUACCCUUAUUCGAGAAACAAAACACACAGAAUAAGUCAAUAAGCUCUGAUGAACCCUAAAAGAGCCCACAUAUAUACUUCACUCAACCCUCCUCUCACUACAAAACCCUAGAGCACAAACUAUCCCUCCCCCCAUCUCUCUCACGAACACACACCCCCACGCCGCCAAAUGGCCGCCGCCGCCCGCCCCCUUGUCUCCGUACAACCUCUACCCGCGUCCCUCAAUGACAUGGCCACUGAUUCUGUCACAACCGUGGCUCUCCCCGAUGUCAUGAAGGCCUCAAUCAGACCGGACAUCGUCAAUUUUGUCCACUCCAACAUCUCCAAGAACAGCCGUCAACCUUACGCCGUCUCAAAGAAGGCCGGCCACCAGACCUCAGCCGAAUCUUGGGG
This 8566-nucleotide long non-coding RNA is filed under the name Populus tremula. RNAcentral's name for it is "long non-coding RNA (PTRE_LNC002539)". The record is from RNAcentral. Lineage: Eukaryota; Viridiplantae; Streptophyta; Magnoliopsida; Malpighiales; Salicaceae.